RNAcentral lists this long non-coding RNA (2306 nucleotides) under Gossypium barbadense (sea-island cotton). Its description in RNAcentral is "long non-coding RNA (GBAR_LNC022172)". Lineage: Eukaryota; Viridiplantae; Streptophyta; Magnoliopsida; Malvales; Malvaceae. The record is from RNAcentral.
CUCUUUGCAGAUGAUUGUAUGUUGUUUGGGGAAGCAUCUGAUAGGGGUGCCAGUAUACUAAAGGAAAUUUUGAAGGAAUAUGAAAAGUGUUCUGGACAGUGCGUUAAUUUCAACAAGUCUACCAUAUUUUUCAGCACCAAUACGUCAGAAGAAAAAAUGAAUGAAGUUUCAGCAAAAUUGGGGGUUAGGAUCUCAACAAACUUAGAACGAUAUCUAGGGCUUCCAAACAUGGUUGGUCGACGAAAGAAAAAAUCCUUUCAGCAUUUAAAAGAAAAGAUUGCUACCAGGAUUGAUGGGUGGAGUACUAGAAUGUUAUCUCAAGGAGGCAAAGAAGUCUUUAUUAAAUCGGUGUUACAGGCCAUUCCAACGUACGCUAUGUCAUGCUUCUUAUUACCAAAGACUCUUUGUGGAGAAUUUGAAAAUAUUUUUGCUAAAUUUUGGUGGCAAAAAACGCAUGGUAUGAGAGGUAUUCAUUGGUGUCAGUGGAAGUACUUAUGCCGUCCUAAAGAAGAAGGGUGGAUUGGGCUUUAGAAAUAUGGCUCAAUUUAAUGUUUCACUUUUAGCUAAGCAAGGAUGGCGUAUUAUAAACAAUCCAAAUUCUUUAGUUGCGCAAGUAUUAAAAGCGAAAUAUUUUCCAAGUGUUGAUUUUUUAAACUCACAGUUGGGGAAUAAUAUAUCGUAUACAUGGAAAAGUAUUUGGGCUGCUAAGGGCAUCCUAGCAGAGGGCUUAUGUUGGAAGGUGGGGCGAGGUACAAAAAUUUCAAUCAGUCGUGAUUAUUGGAUUCCAGUUUUACCGCGUGAUAGAUUACCAGUUUUAAGUUCAAAUUUGAAUGAUAGUAAAGUUGCAGAGCUAAUUGAUUCAAGUAGCAGAACAUGGAAACAAGAGUUGGUAGAGCAUACCUUUCCGGAGGAUGUAGCAGAGAAGAUCCUCAGUAUCCCACUAGCUGAAACACCGCACGAUGAUUUCCAAGUUUGAAGCGUUGAAGCGACGGGUGAGUUCACAACACGGAGCGCCUAUAAACUAUUACAAAGCAUUGAAAAUAACCCUGAAGCUUAUGCUUUACAAAAUGACUACAAGGACUUCUACAGAAAACUAUGGCUACUUGAUCUUCCUUCAAAAAUUAAAAUUACAGUUUGGAAGAUAUCUUGGAAUUUUCUAGCUACGCGAGCUAAUAUGCUACUUAGAAGACUGACGAACACGUCAGUAUGUCCUCGCUGUAGUUCAGGAACUGAAACUAUGGACCAUCUCUUCCGGGAAUGUCCUGCUACAAUAGCAGUAUGGAGAGAGUUAUCUUUUCAUAGGUUUUUGCAAGACAAUCAAAUGGGGUUUCUACAGUGGCUAACCUGGGUUUUCUCACAAAGCUCGACUCCUCAGCAUCGAAUCUUUUGUGUUGCAGUAUGGGCCAUCUAGGGAGACAGGAACAAUAGAUUGCAUAAAAAAGAUGGUAAAUCUGGAAAAGAAGUAGGGAGAUUUGUUCAUAGCUAUAUUUCAGAUCUUGAUGCAGUUGGUAAAAAUAGGUUGCAAUCUUCCAUACCUGUAAAAAUAUGGACAAAGCCAGUGGACAAGGUAGUCAAAAUCAAUUUCGAUGCAGCGUACGAUGGUAGACAAAGUAAAGCGGCUAUUGGGGUUGUGGCCCGCAAUAAGGAGGGUUCAGUUCUUCUAUCAUGUACGGAGGUUCAUCAAAGAGUUCCCUCAGCCUUUGGGGCGGAAGCAAUAGCGUGUCGGAAAGCCCUCCAAAUCGGUGUUAACAUGCAGUGGGAAAAAGUUAUUAUUGAAGGGGAUUCUUUAUCAAUAAUAAGAAAAUGUAAAACAAAAAGGCCCGAUAAAUCAUUGAUUAGUGCGUAUUUACAUGAUAUUCAUCAACUUCUGCUUAAAUUCAAUGAGUGUAGGUUUGAGCAUAUCCCAAGAUUAGCAAACAACCUUGCGCAUAUAUUAGCAAAUGAAGCGCUGAAGAGUAGUAGAGGAGCCUACCUGAUCGGACGAGUCCCUGAAGCGGCAGAAAUCCAAGCAGAAACUGAGAGGGCAAAAGAACCAGAUUGAAGGAAGAAAGCGAGAAAUGAAGGGAUGAGAGUAUAGAGAAGGGCAGACAUCAAAGUUAUUUCAGCAGCCCUAGAGUAAUCUCAAGCGUCUUGGAAAAGUAAAUAAAAUUGAAGAGAUAAGACGUUUGUAGUCUUUUAAGACUGAUUGGGCAGGUAGAAUAGUAAACAUUUAUUAGAAUCAGAUUUUGUUUCCUUUUUCUUUUCUAUAGGAGAUUUGGUUUUUCAAUUUUUGUCUUUUAAUUUUCUUUUGCUGGGCUCAAUUUUUU